UUAAGUUCAGCGGGUAUCCCUACCUGAUCCGAGGUCAAAGUGAUGAGGAGCCUUUCUGGACGGAGGCAGGCUGGAGCCGUGACGCAAUGUGCUGCGCACGAAGCCAACUUGCCGGCUGCCAAUGAAUUUGAGGCGAGUUCACGCGUGCAGCGGAACAAAACGCCCAACACCCAGCAGGGCUGGAGGGUACAAAUGACGCU
This 200-nucleotide unclassified non-coding RNA is filed under the name Pleosporales sp. Its description in RNAcentral is "partial internal transcribed spacer 2". The record is from RNAcentral. Lineage: Eukaryota; Fungi; Ascomycota; Dothideomycetes; Pleosporales.